UGGUGAGAAGGGAAUGCUGUAGGUUACAGGUCCUGGUAAAUAGAUGCAGAGAUCUUCCUUCAGGUGGGGAGGUCGCUUCAUCUUAGCAGAUCUUGUCAGAUGGUGUCGGACCACAUAAAUUUGGUCUUCCCAAAUGUCCCAUCUUCGUCAGUGGGGACGGAUCUGAAGUGCUGACGAGGCUCUGUGGACGACACACCUGUCACUGCAGAGCCUGCAGGAUUAAUUCUUCUUAAUCAAGAGCAGUCUUGGGACUCGGCAGGAAUUCAAGGAAACUCACCAGGGAAACGUGGACCUGCUGUAGCGCAGAGGGGGCACAGGCACACGACAGUACUGAG
Non-coding RNA from Manis javanica (Malayan pangolin), 335 nucleotides. Lineage: Eukaryota; Metazoa; Chordata; Mammalia; Pholidota; Manidae. The record is from RefSeq and is a predicted model, not a curated record.